UACAGAGGUCUCAAGCGUUGUUCGGAUUCAUUGGGCGUAAAGAGCUCGUAGGCGGUUCGGCAAGUCGGGUGUGAAAACUCCAGGCUCAACCUGGAGACGCCACCCGAUACUGCUGUGACUUGAGUCCGGUAGGGGACCACGGAAUUCCUGGUGUAGCGGUGAAAUGCGCAGAUAUCAGGAAGAACACCUAUGGCGAAGGCAGCUCUCUGGGACGGUACUGACGCUGAGACGCGAAAGCGUGGGGAGCGAACAGG
Molecule: ribosomal RNA, 254 nt
Filed under: uncultured bacterium
Lineage: Bacteria
Description: partial 16S ribosomal RNA
Rfam family: Bacterial small subunit ribosomal RNA
Source: RNAcentral